GGAUUGUGCCUCAGUGGUAGAAUGCUCGCCUAGCACGUGGGAGGCCCUGGGUUUGAUCCUCAGCACCA
This 68-nucleotide transfer RNA is filed under the name Marmota monax (woodchuck). RNAcentral describes it as "tRNA.Ala". Lineage: Eukaryota; Metazoa; Chordata; Mammalia; Rodentia; Sciuridae. The record is from RNAcentral.